RNAcentral lists this ribosomal RNA (1372 nucleotides) under uncultured bacterium. Its description in RNAcentral is "bacterial SSU rRNA". It matches the Rfam family "Bacterial small subunit ribosomal RNA", at positions 28 to 1381 of the family's 1533-position model. The record is from RNAcentral.
GAUGAACGCUGGCGGCGUGCCUAAUACAUGCAAGUCGAGCGUACGGACGAGAAGCUUGCUUCUCUGAUGUUAGCGGCGGACGGGUGAGUAACACGUGGAUAACCUACCUAUAAGACUGGGAUAACUUCGGGAAACCGGAGCUAAUACCGGAUAAUAUUUUGAACCGCAUGGUUCAAAAGUGAAAGACGGUCUUGCUGUCACUCAUAGAUGGAUCCGCGCUGCAUUAGCUAGUUGGUAAGGUAACGGCUUACCAAGGCAACGAUGCAUAGCCGACCUGAGAGGGUGAUCGGCCACACUGGAACUGAGACACGGUCCAGACUCCUACGGGAGGCAGCAGUAGGGAAUCUUCCGCAAUGGGCGAAAGCCUGACGGAGCAACGCCGCGUGAGUGAUGAAGGUCUUCGGAUCGUAAAACUCUGUUAUUAGGGAAGAACAUAUGUGUAAGUAACUGUGCACAUCUUGACGGUACCUAAUCAGAAAGCCACGGCUAACUACGUGCCAGCAGCCGCGGUAAUACGUAGGUGGCAAGCGUUAUCCGGAAUUAUUGGGCGUAAAGCGCGCGUAGGCGGUUUUUUAAGUCUGAUGUGAAAGCCCACGGCUCAACCGUGGAGGGUCAUUGGAAACUGGAAAACUUGAGUGCAGAAGAGGAAAGUGGAAUUCCAUGUGUAGCGGUGAAAUGCGCAGAGACAUGGAGGAACACCAGUGGCGAAGGCGACUUUCUGGUCUGUAACUGACGCUGAUGUGCGAAAGCGUGGGGAUCAAACAGGAUUAGAUACCCUGGUAGUCCACGCCGUAAACGAUGAGUGCUAAGUGUUAGGGGGUUUCCGCCCCUUAGUGCUGCAGCUAACGCAUUAAGCACUCCGCCUGGGGAGUACGACCGCAAGGUUGAAACUCAGAGGAAUUGACGGGGACCCGCACAAGCGGUGGAGCAUGUGGUUUAAUUCGAAGCAACGCGAAGAACCUUACCAAAUCUUGACAUCCUUUGACAACUCUAGAGAUAGAGCCUUCCCCUUCGGGGGACAAAGUGACAGGUGGUGCAUGGUUGUCGUCAGCUCGUGUCGUGAGAUGUUGGGUUAAGUCCCGCAACGAGCGCAACCCUUAAGCUUAGUUGCCAUCAUUAAGUUGGGCACUCUAAGUUGACUGCCGGUGACAAACCGGAGGAAGGUGGGGAUGACGUCAAAUCAUCAUGCCCCUUAUGAUUUGGGCUACACACGUGCUACAAUGGACAAUACAAAGGGCAGCGAGACCGCGAGGUCAAGCAAAUCCCAUAAAGUUGUUCUCAGUUCGGAUUGUAGUCUGCAACUCGACUACAUGAAGCUGGAAUCGCUAGUAAUCGUAGAUCAGCAUGCUACGGUGAAUACGUUCCCGGGUCU